CCGUAUUUGAGUUUGAUCCUGGCUCAGGGUGAACGCUAAUAGUAUGCUUUACACAUGCGAGUCGUACGAAAAUUAAAUUUUCGUGGCGAACGGGUGAGGAUAACGUAAAAUUCUACCUUUCAGUUUAGGAUAAAACAUAUCUGUAAUAAAAUUUUAUAUUAUUGAGAAUAAAUUUUUCAUUAAAUUUAAGUUAAAACUAAAAAAAAAAUAAUUAAUAAUUAUUUGCUGUUAGAUGUUUUUGCGUAAGAUUAGGUAGUUGGUAAUUUAAUAGAGUACCAAGCCUACGAUCUUUAGUUGAUCUUAGAGGAUGAUCAACCACACUGGAACUGAGACAAGGUCCAGGCUAAUUUUUUUGGCCAGCAGUGAGGAAUAUUGGACAAUGAACGAAAGUUUGAUCCAGCAAUACUAUGUGAAUGAUGACGGCUUUUUGGUUGUAAAGUUCUUUCGUUAACAAUGAUAAUGACAUUAGUUAAAGAAGUUUUAGUCCCGGCUAAUCUCGUGCCAGCAGCCGCGGUAAUACGGGAGGGGCAAGCGUUAUCCGGACUAACUGGGCGUAAAGGGUCCGUAGACUGUACUGUAAGUUAUUUGUUAAAACUUAAAGCUCAACUUUAAAAAAGCAUUUAAUACUACUGUACUUGAGUUUUAUGCAGAAGAGUAGAAUUUUAUAUUGAGGAGUAAUUCCCGUAGAUAUAUGAAGGAAUACCGUUAGCGAAGGCGACUCUUUGGUAAAAACUGACGUUGAGGGACGAAAGUAUAGGUAGCAAACAGGAUUAGAUACCCUGGUAGUCUAUACUGUAAAUUAUGAGUGCUGUAAUUUAAAAAUAAUUUUAACUAAUAUUUUUAGAUUUUUUAAGCUAACGCCAUAAGCACUCCGCCUGAGGAGUACGAUCGCAAGGUUGGAACUCAAAGGAAUUGACGGGGGCCUACAACGAGUGGUGGAGCAUGUGGUUUAAUGCGAUAAUCCGCGCAAAACCUUACCAACCCUUGACAUAAAAAAUUUUGAAAUUAAUUUCAGUCAAAUUGAUUAUUUAAUAUCUAAUUUUUUUGAAUUUAAUUUUUUACAGGUGUUGCACGACUGUCGUCAGCUCGUGUCGUAAGAUGUUUGGUUCAUUCCUUUAACGAGCGCAACUCUUAUUUUCAUUAAUUGUUAUAUUUUAAUUUUUUUAAUUUAUAAACUAAAGUGUUGAAAAUAUUAUCAAUUAUAAGUUGAAGGAAGAUGAGAAUUAAGUCAAGUCACUGUGGCCCUUAUGGGUUGGGCUACACACGUGCUACAAUGAAAAAUACAAUGAGAUACUAAAAUAUAUCCAAAUUUUAGUUAGUCUUUAAAAUUUUUCGUAGUUCAGAUUAUAAGCUGCAACUCGCUUAUAUGAAGGUGGAAUCACUAGUAAUCGCAAAUCAGCAUGUUGCGGUGAAUAUGUAUCUUGGCCUUGUACACACCGCCCGUCACAUGCAGAGAGUUAGUUUUAUUUGAAGAUUUUAAAUUAGGUUUAAUUAUUCUGUACUAAGAAUAUUGUUAACCUGAUAAAUCCAUUAAAAAAUUGAUGAUUUGGAUGAAGUCGUAACAAGGUAGCUGUACGGGAACGUGUAGCUGGAAUAUAGUGAAA
RNAcentral lists this ribosomal RNA (1604 nucleotides) under Hemiaulus chinensis. RNAcentral's name for it is "Hemiaulus sinensis small subunit ribosomal RNA". It matches the Rfam family "Bacterial small subunit ribosomal RNA". The record is from RNAcentral. Lineage: Eukaryota; Bacillariophyta; Thalassiosirophyceae; Hemiaulales; Hemiaulaceae.